AAUCCGGUUCACUUUAACACUGAGGCGUGAUGACGAGGCGCUACGGUGCUGAAGCAACAAAUGCCCUGCUUCCAGGAAAAGCCUCUAAGCAUCAGGUAACAUCAAAUCGUACCCCAAACCGACACAGGUGGUCAGGUAGAGAAUACCAAGGCGCUUGAGAGAACUCGGGUGAAGGAACUAGGCAAAAUGGUGCCGUAACUUCGGGAGAAGGCACGCUGACACGUAGGUGAAGUGAUUUACUCAUGGAGCUGAAGUCAGUCGAAGAUACCAGCUGGCUGCAACUGUUUAUUAAAAACACAGCACUGUGCAAACACGAAAGUGGACGUAUACGGUGUGACGCCUGCCCGGUGCCGGAAGGUUAAUUGAUGGGGUCAGCGCAAGCGAAGCUCCUGAUCGAAGCCCCGGUAAACGGCGGCCGUAACUAUAACGGUCCUAAGGUAGCGAAAUUCCUUGUCGGGUAAGUUCCGACCUGCACGAAUGGCGUAAUGAUGGCCAGGCUGUCUCCACCCGAGACUCAGUGAAAUUGAACUCGCUGUGAAGAUGCAGUGUACCCGCGGCAAGACGGAAAGACCCCGUGAACCUUUACUAUAGCUUGACACUGAACAUUGAGCCUUGAUGUGUAGGAUAGGUGGGAGGCUUUGAAGUGUGGACGCCAGUCUGCAUGGAGCCGACCUUGAAAUACCACCCUUUAAUGUUUGAUGUUCUAACGUGGACCCGUGAUCCGGGUUGCGGACAGUGUCUGGUGGGUAGUUUGACUGGGGCGGUCUCCUCCUAAAGAGUAACGGAGGAGCACGAAGGUUGGCUAAUCCUGGUCGGACAUCAGGAGGUUAGUGCAAUGGCAUAAGCCAGCUUGACUGCGAGCGUGACGGCGCGAGCAGGUGCGAAAGCAGGUCAUAGUGAUCCGGUGGUUCUGAAUGGAAGGGCCAUCGCUCAACGGAUAAAAGGUACUCCGGGGAUAACAGGCUGAUACCGCCCAAGAGUUCAUAUCGACGGCGGUGUUUGGCACCUCGAUGUCGGCUCAUCACAUCCUGGGGCUGAAGUAGGUCCCAAGGGUAUGGCUGUUCGCCAUUUAAAGUGGUACGCGAGCUGGGUUUAGAACGUCGUGAGACAGUUCGGUCCCUAUCUGCCGUGGGCGCUGGAGAACUGAGGGGGGCUGCUCCUAGUACGAGAGGACCGGAGUGGACGCAUCACUGGUGUUCGGGUUGUCAUGCCAAUGGCACUGCCCGGUAGCUAAAUGCGGAAGAGAUAAGUGCUGAAAGCAUCUAAGCACGAAACUUGCCCCGAGAUGAGUUCUCCCUGAGACUUUAGGUCUCCUGAAGGAACGUUGAAGACGACGACGUUGAUAGGCCGGGUGUGUAAGCGCAGCGAUGCGUUGAGCUAACCGGUACUAAUGAACCGUGAGGCUUAACCUUACA
This 1415-nucleotide ribosomal RNA is filed under the name Salmonella enterica subsp. enterica serovar Montevideo. Its description in RNAcentral is "partial 23S ribosomal RNA". It matches the Rfam family "Bacterial large subunit ribosomal RNA", at positions 1539 to 2925 of the family's 2925-position model. The record is from RNAcentral. Lineage: Bacteria; Pseudomonadati; Pseudomonadota; Gammaproteobacteria; Enterobacterales; Enterobacteriaceae.